RNAcentral lists this ribosomal RNA (803 nucleotides) under Stenelmis grossa. RNAcentral describes it as "partial 16S ribosomal RNA". The stretch from base 1 to 595 matches the Rfam family "Archaeal large subunit ribosomal RNA", at positions 1908 to 2987 of the family's 2987-position model. The record is from RNAcentral. Lineage: Eukaryota; Metazoa; Arthropoda; Insecta; Coleoptera; Elmidae.
GUCUUUUUGAUUAUGAUAUAAGAUUUGGCCUGCCCGUUGAUGAAUAUUAAAUGGCCGCGGUAUUUUGACCGUGCAAAGGUAGCAUAAUAAUUAGUUUUUUAAUUGAAAGCUGGAAUGAAUGGUUGGACGAGAAAAUUACUGUCUCUAAUUUAUUUUAUAUAAAAUUUUAUUUUUAAGUAAAAAAGCUUAAAUUUAUUUGAGGGACGAGAAGACCCUAUAGAGUUUUAUAAAUUUAAUUUAAUGUAAUUUUAAGAAUUAAAUUUUCUUUGUUUUAAAUUUAUUUUGUUGGGGUGAUGAAAAGAUUUAAUUAACUCUUUUUUUAUUUAAACAUAAAUUUAUGAUAAAUUGAUCCAUUUUUUAUGAUUAUAAGAAUAAAUUACCUUAGGGAUAACAGCGUAAUCUUUUUAGAGAGUUCUUAUCGAAAUGAAGGGUUGCGACCUCGAUGUUGGAUUAAAGUUAAUUUUUGGUGUAGAAGCUGAAAAAUUAAGUCUGUUCGACUUUUGAAACUUUACAUGAUCUGAGUUUAAACCGGUGUGAGCCAGGUUGGUUUCUAUCUUUAAUAGGAAAUAAUGUUUUAGUACGAAAGGACCAAAUAUUUAAUAUAUUUAUUUAUAUAGGAAUUUUAUUAAUGUUACUUUGGCAGAUUAGUGCGUUAGAUUUAGAAUCUUUUUAUGUAAGGUUUUACAGGUAAUAUUUGUUUAUAUUUGAUGUUAUUUUAUUAUUUUUGGGUAUGUUAAUUUUGAUUGUUUGUGUUUUAGUUGGGGUUGCAUUUUUGACUUUAUUGGAACGUAAAGUUUUAGGAU